UAUUAGAAAUAGUCUAUAUCAUUCGUUUUUCUUCUCUACGCAUCUACGCAUACGAAGUAAAUGGGAAGAGAUAAUUUAUAAUAAGUUAAUUAGUAAGAACUUGUAUUUGUAAGAGUAAAUAAUCAUUCAAAGUAGGUAUUAAAUAUAAUCUUCAGAAAUAAAACCCAGAUUAUAAUGACCCGAUUAUCUUAGACCUCAACUAUUGACGUCAGAGACAAUGUUGAAAAUAAUUAUAAACUCAUUAACGACCUAAUUGCAGUCGGCGCUAGACGCGAUUAGCAUGGGCCAUAGUUCCACUAUCAAGUAAUUACAUUGUCUCCAUGGAUAAAUUAAUCUACACUUAGUUACUACUCUGUAACAUAGUUAUAAUUUCAGUACGAUAAUAUGAUGAAAUCCGACCUUUAUUAAUAUUACAAAAAGCAAUAUGCGAGUAAAAACAAUUUUAAACAAGGGACAUAUUAUAAAAAUGUACAGUGGAAUACAGAACCUCCUCCUUUUUGAAGUCGGUUAAAAAGCAUUCAUACUUAACCAAGUAUAGCGACGUCUCAAUUAUGUAAAAAUAAAAA
Galleria mellonella (greater wax moth) is the source of this 566-nucleotide long non-coding RNA. RefSeq lists it as uncharacterized. NCBI's taxonomy places the organism in Eukaryota, Metazoa, Arthropoda, Insecta, Lepidoptera, Pyralidae. The record is from RefSeq and is a predicted model, not a curated record. The transcript is spliced from 2 exons.